AGGAAAAUGGCACUACUUUAAUAAAUAAUAGCGCAGGAAAACUGGGCUCGAGACAUAGCUAGUUUAAUCUUGGAGUAAAACCCUGGUCUUUAUUAUGUUUGCUAAAUAGCAUAAAACAGGAAAAGUGGUUUGUUAGCUUUUGCUGAGCAGACAUUUCAAGUCAAACCAUUUCGUGCUUGCUGCUGGAAGUUGUUUAGACUGGGGGGGAGCGGUUAUCCCUAGUUUAACUUGUCAGCCUGUUUUUAUUUUUUGAGGCUUGCUGACCAUAAACACGUUGUUCUGGUUCUUUUUUAAGUUUCAGUAUUAGCUCCUCUCCACUCAAUCAUUUACUUACAGGAGUUUCACGAUAACUGCUUGGAUUAUGGAAUUCUGGAGUAAAAUUAUAGGCUAUGUACACGUAAUGGCCCCGUAUCACUGUGCACGCAGCUGCAGAGCCUCUGGAUCUGACCGCCUGUGCACCAUUUCAAUGGCAAAGGCUCUUCCACUCGGGCUCAUUUCCCUCAGUUUGACUUAAUUCCUAAAUGUUUUGAACAUUGAUCCCCGAGGUUUUCAGCGCCCUGAGCCCCUCGCCUGCUGUUUGAUAGGUUAACUUUUCAGCAUCUCAGACAAUGGUCUCGGCCUGUAAACUCUACCCAUUGGUUCCAGGACGCAAUCCCCAGCCUCGCUCUAACAAGCGCUAUCUUAAUCCCCCCCCCCCCCCCCCGCCGCUUCCCCUGUGGUCUGCUUUUUUCAUACACAGAGAUGAAUUACUUUGAGGAUCUAAUUGGCCUUGUUUCUGUAACGUUUUAAGAAAGGGAAGAGGAGCCAGUGUAAAAGCCUGCUCGACUUGGGUGGUCAGGGCUGAGGCUGCCCCCAAUUUGCCUCAUUGCUGAUGCAUGCGAGUGCCACAUUCCCAGCGAUAAUGUUGUUCCUAAUCAAUCUGCCCUUAUUUACAUUUGUAAGCAUUGUCGGCUUUAAUAUGCAUGCCCUGUGCAGGGGACUGCUGAGCCACACCGGGUUUGUUAACUUCCAACUAACCACAAGGAUUCCACAGACCUGAGAUGAGGCUGAUUGGAGGAGCCAGGCCUGCUAAGGUGUCUGCUGG
RNAcentral lists this long non-coding RNA (1084 nucleotides) under Marmota monax (woodchuck). Lineage: Eukaryota; Metazoa; Chordata; Mammalia; Rodentia; Sciuridae. The record is from RNAcentral.